AAAAUCAUCUCACAGAUAGUGUGGUAUUGGCAGAAGUAGGUAGUACUAGUAGUGCUUUGUCUUACUCUACCAAAAUGAAUGGGCCAGAAAAGUGAAUCAUGGUAACAGACUCUCAGAGUGUUUUAAAAUGCUAUACUAGUCUAAACCAGAUUGGAAUCUGAACCUGUUGACCUCCAUAAAGUUCAAACUAGAGC
RNAcentral lists this unclassified non-coding RNA (194 nucleotides) under uncultured Tuberaceae. Its description in RNAcentral is "sequence contains ITS2". The record is from RNAcentral. Lineage: Eukaryota; Fungi; Ascomycota; Pezizomycetes; Pezizales; Tuberaceae.